Haliaeetus leucocephalus (bald eagle) is the source of this 2231-nucleotide long non-coding RNA. RefSeq lists it as uncharacterized. The transcript is spliced from 3 exons. The record is from RefSeq and is a predicted model, not a curated record. Lineage: Eukaryota; Metazoa; Chordata; Aves; Accipitriformes; Accipitridae.
CCUUCUCCCAAAGCUACGUCGAAGCCCACCUCUGGAGGGGACUCGCAGGCCUUGCGUGAGGGAAGGGACCCGGUGCGUGUCUGGCGGCAGGAUGCCGGGUGCCAAGUGCCUAGAGGUAGGGCCCCGAUGGGGAGACCCGAAAGCUACACCCCUGGAACCGUGGCGGUGUUGGUUGGCCAAAAACGUCCCCGAGGCGGCUGUCCCGCUUGCGCGGUGCUGUGCGGAGAGAUGCAGCCUCGGUCCUUGCUUCGUUGUAGAGGCGCUUGCACACCGCAGCCCUAAAAUAACCACCCUGCUUCCCUCUACCUGCAAACGUAAGGCACGCUUGUGUAGCAGAGGUUUGAAUCGGGGACGGGGUGAAGAGAACGAGGGCUGCGGGGAAGGAUUUCCCUUUGCUGAGGCUCACAGCCUGGCCUCUCCUUUUGAGAGCAGGUGCCUACAUACAGCCUGUUUCUGUUCCCUCGAAGAAUUAAUUAUUUUCUCCUGUAUGUGGCCCCGGGAGGAAGAAGUCCAAGCACCUCCCUCCCCCCGUCAUUCUGUAUCUCCAGCGAUCAGAGCGCUUCUUUAGGAGCUGGAGAUGUGGCUCCUGGUCCUUUUCCCAGAACUUUGUGUUUUGUCCUCUGACAAACGUUCAAUGUAAAGUACAUGGAGCACACUUGGAAAAGGGGACUGAAAUCCAAGGCUGUUCCCCUCCCUUCCCCAUGGCAAUAUUAUUAUUGCUAGGUCAUGGCCUCUCCUUGAAUCCUGAAUCCCCACCCUCUCCCCCAGGCAGCAGUACGGGUUCAACAGGCUGGUUCAAAAUGGAGUGUGUGUUAGCCUAGCAUACCUCCCGGGUAAGAUACUCUUCAGGAAGGUCGGGGGCAGCAGGGGGAGAAGCUGACCUUGGGUCUCCUGGUGUGGGGAGCACCUGCAAGGCACACAGAGGGAAGGAAGUGCCCCCCUGGGUAGUUGAGAAAGGGUUCAAAGGGGCUGGUGAAGUGUUAAGCAAAAGCAGUCGGCGGCUCAGCACAUGGUGGGGAAGUUGAUGAUAAGCAUUUGCAGCUGGUUCUCUCUCUCUCCCACCCUGGAGGAACUGGGUGGCUGCUGACUCAGGAGCUGCAUCAAGUCAGAGGAAUGGGAAGGGGGUCACAUUUCCCGAGUGCCCAAGACACACUGCAGCAGGCGAUGGGAUAGCGACGGGCACCUCCUACCUGCUGUCCCGUCUUGGAAGAGCGAUCACAGCAGCGUGCUGUAAGGAGCUGGAGCCCUCUGGAAUGUUGGGACUAAUCAUGUGAGAAAAGAUCCUGGAGUGAUGAGGCAGCAUAUUUCCCAUGUCUGAGGUCAGCUUCACAGAACAAAUCCUGACCUUUAAAACAGCCUGAAAAUGAGGAACGUGGCACCAGAGAGCAGAGCAGGAAACAUGAAAUGAUGAAAUGCAAGCAGUUUUCCAGAGGCCCACAUGCCUCUGGAAAGCAGUAGAAGUAUCUGCAUGAGCAAAGAGCUCCAGUGCAGGAAGGUAAAGAGGAUGUAAGAACAAGGCUGUGGCUGGGGAGAUGGAAAUGGCUUAGUCGGGGCACCAGGUGAAGUCCUGCAGUGGCUACUCUGUUGCAAAGACUGCAGCUGAAAACAGACUCAGACAGGAGCUGAUCCACACUGUUCUCAGCCUUUGGGGAACAUUCAGUUUUGGAACUGAAGGACCCAUGUUUUAGGCUAAACUGAACUCAUGAGUCUAAAACUUCUUCAACUCUAUGUUGCUUUUGACCUCACUCUGUAGUAUGGAUCCAUUUGCUUCAUCACUAGCCAGAUGAAGCUUAUUCGCAGUGUCAGAAGAAGAUCUACCUCUGCUCUCUGGCUCAGAUUAGCUUACUGUUGCUCCCUCAGUUUAUCUGCUUUUAUAUGCAUAUCCUGCUGCUAAAUGUGUGUAAAAUAAGUGGCUAGUCCUUUUACUCUCUUUCCUUUCAGCUUGUUGAUCGCAGGAUUCAGUCAUAUGCAUAGUAAUGUGUAAUUGAAGCAUGGUGGCUUUACCCAGCUGGCUUAGAUCUCACCUCUAAGCCUGUACGCAAAAAGACCUACCUAUUCUGGGUGGCGUGGGAAGCUCUCCAGGGCCCAGAAUGUGAGAAGUAAUCAAUUCUUGUAGAAACGUUUCUGCAAUGCUGUGGAAUCCAGCCAAGAGACAUGAUGAAAGUGGAAACUGUUUUCUAGGACAUCCAGUUUCAUUUAAUUUUGUCAUGCCCAUAGAACUUUUCAGCAAA